Molecule: ribosomal RNA, 252 nt
Filed under: uncultured bacterium
Lineage: Bacteria
Description: partial 16S ribosomal RNA
Rfam family: Bacterial small subunit ribosomal RNA
Source: RNAcentral
UACGGAGGAUGCGAGCGUUAUCCGGAUUUAUUGGGUUUAAAGGGUGCGUAGGCGGGCUUUUAAGUCAGCGGUAAAAAUUCGGGGCUCAACCCCGUCCGGCCGUUGAAACUGGGGGUCUUGGGUGGGCGAGAAGAAGGCGGAAUGCGUGGUGUAGCGGUGAAAUGCAUAGAUAUCACGCAGAACCCCGAUUGCGAAGGCAGCCUUCCGGCGCCCUACUGACGCUGAGGCACGAAAGUGCGGGGAUCGAACAGG